RNAcentral lists this ribosomal RNA (482 nucleotides) under uncultured bacterium. RNAcentral's name for it is "partial 16S ribosomal RNA". It matches the Rfam family "Bacterial small subunit ribosomal RNA", at positions 28 to 507 of the family's 1533-position model. The record is from RNAcentral.
GACGAACGCUGGCGGCGUGCUUAACACAUGCAAGUCGAACGCUGAAGCUCAGCUUGCUGGGUGGAUGCGUGGCGAACGGGUGAGUAACACGUGAGUAACCUGCCCUCUUCUUUUGGAUAACGCCCGGAAAAGGGUGCUCAUACUGGAUAUUCACUCAUUCUCGCCAUGGGGGUGGUGGAAAGGUUUUUUCUGGUGGGGGAUGGGGUCGCGGCCUUUCAGCUUGUUGGUGGGGUGAUGGCCUACGAAGGCGUUGACGGGUGGCCGGCCUGAGGGGGUGGCCGGGGAGGUUGAGACGGAGAUACGGGCCAGACACAUAGCGGAGGCAGCAGUGGGGAAUAUUGCACGAGGGGCGAAAGCCUGAGGCAGCGACGCGACGUGAGGGAGGGAGGCCUUCGGGUUGGAAACCUCGUUCGCACACGGUCUAGGCGCAGGUUGGGGUGGGGGUGAGGGUAGUGGGUAAAGAAGCGCCGGCUAACUACGUG